This 369-nucleotide ribosomal RNA is filed under the name uncultured organism. RNAcentral's name for it is "partial 16S ribosomal RNA". It matches the Rfam family "Bacterial small subunit ribosomal RNA", at positions 527 to 896 of the family's 1533-position model. The record is from RNAcentral.
AGAGGGUGCGAGCGUUAAUCGGACUUACUGGGCGUAAAGGGGGUCUAGGUGGGUUCCUAAGUCAGAUGUGAAAACUCCGGGCUUAACCCGGAACCUGCAUCUGAUACUGGGGAUCUUGAGCACGGUAGAGGAGAGUGGAACUUUCAGUGCAGCGGUGGAAUGCGUAGAUAUUGAGAGGAACACCAUUGGCGAAGGCAGCUCUCUGGGCCGUUGCUGACACUAAAGCCCGAAAGCUGGGGUAGCAAACAGGAUUAGAUACCCCGGUAGUCCUAGCCGUAAACGAUGGGCACUAGAUGUUUCCCGCUUUUAGCGGAGGUGUCGAAGCUAACGCAUUAAGUGCCCCGCCUGGGGAGUACGGUCGCAAGGCUG